AUUGAACGCUGGCGGCAGGCUUAACACAUGCAAGUCGAGCGAGCGGCGGACGGGUGAGUAAUGUCUGGGAAACUGCCUGAUGGAGGGGGAUAACUACUGGAAACGGUAGCUAAUACCGCAUACCAUCAGAUGUGCCCAGAUGGGAUUAGCUAGUAGGUGGGGUAAUGGCUCACAUAGGCGACGAUCCCUAGCUGGUCUGAAAGGAUGACCACCCACACUGGAACUGGAACACGGUCAGAAUCCCUCCGGUAGGCAGCAGUGGGGAAUAUUGCACAAGGGGCGAAAGCCUGAUGCAGCCAUGCGGCGUGUGUAAAGAAGGCCUUCGGGUUGUAAAGUACUUUCAGCGAGGAGGCGUUACCCGCAGAAGAAGCACCGGCUAACUCCGUGCCAGCAGCCGCGGUAAUAC
RNAcentral lists this ribosomal RNA (406 nucleotides) under uncultured bacterium. RNAcentral describes it as "partial 16S ribosomal RNA". It matches the Rfam family "Bacterial small subunit ribosomal RNA", at positions 30 to 526 of the family's 1533-position model. The record is from RNAcentral.